RNAcentral lists this long non-coding RNA (1315 nucleotides) under Fukomys damarensis (Damara mole-rat). Its description in RNAcentral is "lncRNA (ENSFDAG00000027427.1)". Lineage: Eukaryota; Metazoa; Chordata; Mammalia; Rodentia; Bathyergidae. The record is from RNAcentral.
AAAUUCAUAAAGUUUACUCACCUACGUGUGCACUUAGUGGUUUUUUUCAACAACCACCUUUUAAUGAUGAACUUUGUCCCACUGUAAACCUUGCUCUGCACUUUGCCCCGAAGGAGUGCGUGUCUCACUCAGCUGUUUGAGCAGCGCGGUGGAUUGUACUUCCCACGGUUGAGGCCAGCUGGCUCUCGGAGACGCCUCCUCCCCGGACCACUCUUAUUGAAUGCCCCCCCCAGUGCUGAGGGCCUUAUAAAUUCUUCCUCAGUGCUGUUUAACUAAGACUUUGAGACUUGGAAUUUCUUGUCUUCUGGCCUCAGCCUCCUGAGUAACUGGGAUUAUAGGCCACAUUCCAGCCCGCCCAGCCCCUGGGCAGUCUUUGAUUGCCUUGAGGGCAGUGAUUUGAGCAAGACGCAACACUAAAACACCAAAUGGGUGGAACUCUUCAUAAAGCACGCAGAUGACCCUGCCACCUGCUCUGGUCUUAACAGUGCCCUUUGGAAUGAGGUCAGCCUUCUUCACAGGGAUAACACGCCUGCCUCUGCCGCCCCUCCUGCCACCACUAGCUACUUUAAAAAAAAAACAACUUCUUUUUUGUUUUUCCUUGCCUGUGUGAGGUCUCAUUUUUUUCUCUGUCUUCAAGAUGUCCAUGGUCUGGUAUUUGUAUUUGUGUGGUCCUCUCCCUUGGGAUGUGGCCCAGACCUUAGGCACCUGCGUCUAAGGAGGGAGCGCGUCCGAAGUAAUAGGGUGCCCACCCUCUCUUGCUUGUCCUGAGAGAGGCCAUCUGCUGGGCCUUGCACUGCCUUGGGGGUGGUGGAGAACCUGAUCACCACAGCAAGGGCUCACCAGGAGUCAAAUCCCGACAACAGCUGUGUAAAGGCGACCCGCUCCCAGGCAAGUCAUCGCGGCCCUGGCGGAAGCCUCCCCUGCAUCCUUGUGAGCAAACAAGCUCAGCCCAGAAUCCUGACCCGAAGACACUGUGAGAUAAUAAAUGUUUGUUGUCCUGAGCUGCUAAAAUUUCAGAUAACUUGUUACCCAACCAUCCAUAACUGAUAUAAUCAGUGUCAUAUAUUUUUCUUCUCAUGGUCUUUGAUAUCCCCCCCAACUUUUCCUUCCCAUAAAGCAUCAAAAACUAUUUUAAUAAUUUUAGCAGAUUGAGUGUUCCUGCUGCAUCAGCUGCUGUGCUCGUAUAAUCGUAUACAAAAUAUCACACCUGUGUAGGACUGAUUAGGACACUCAAUGUGUCCUUUUUUGAUUAGGUGGUGCUGGGGUUUGCCCCAGGGACCUGCACGUUCUAGGCAAGUGCUGAGCUACACCCCCA